RNAcentral lists this ribosomal RNA (467 nucleotides) under uncultured bacterium. Its description in RNAcentral is "partial 16S ribosomal RNA". It matches the Rfam family "Bacterial small subunit ribosomal RNA", at positions 28 to 507 of the family's 1533-position model. The record is from RNAcentral.
GACGAACGCUGGCGGCGUGCUUAACACAUGCAAGUCGAACGGAAAGGCUCCAGCUUGCUGGAGUGCUCGAGUGGCGAACGGGUGAGUAACACGUGGGCAAUCUGCCCUGCACUCUGGGAUAAGCCUGGGAAACUGGGUCUACUACCGGAUAGGACCUUUCUCCUCAUGGGGUUUGGUGGAAAGUUUUUCGGUGCAGGAUGAGCCCGCGGCCUAUCAGCUUGUUGGUGGGGUAAUGGCCUACCAAGGCGACGACGGGUAGCCGGCCUGAGAGGGUGAUCGGCCACAUUGGGACUGAGGUACGGCCCAGACUCCUACGGGAGGCAGCAGUGGGGAAUAUUGUACAAUGGGCGAAAGCCUGAUGCAGCGACGCCGCGUGCGGGAUGACGGCCUUCGGGUUGUAAACCUCUUUCAGUAGGGACGAAGCGCAAGUGACGGUACCUGCAGAAGAAGCACCGGCUAACUACGUG